AUACUUACCUGGCAGGGGAGAUACCAUGAUCAUGAAGGUGAUUUUCCCAGGGCAUGGCUUAUCCAUUGCACCCCAGAUGUGCUGUCCUCUUUGAUUUCCCCAAACGUGGGAAACUCGACUGCAUAAUUUGAGGUAGUGGGGGACUGAAUUUGCGCUUUCCCCUG
Molecule: small nuclear RNA, 164 nt
Filed under: Physeter macrocephalus (sperm whale)
Lineage: Eukaryota; Metazoa; Chordata; Mammalia; Artiodactyla; Physeteridae
Description: Physeter catodon (sperm whale) U1 spliceosomal RNA (ENSPCTG00005012264.1)
Rfam family: U1 spliceosomal RNA
About the family: U1 is a small nuclear RNA (snRNA) component of the spliceosome (involved in pre-mRNA splicing). Its 5' end forms complementary base pairs with the 5' splice junction, thus defining the 5' donor site of an intron. There are significant differences in sequence and secondary structure between metazoan and yeast U1 snRNAs, the latter being much longer (568 nucleotides as compared to 164 nucleotides in human).
Source: Rfam by way of RNAcentral